RNAcentral lists this ribosomal RNA (253 nucleotides) under uncultured bacterium. RNAcentral describes it as "partial 16S ribosomal RNA". It matches the Rfam family "Bacterial small subunit ribosomal RNA", at positions 524 to 776 of the family's 1533-position model. The record is from RNAcentral.
UACGUAGGGUGCAAGCGUUGUCCGGAAUUAUUGGGCGUAAAGAGCGUGUAGGCGGCCCGAUUAGUCCGCUGUGAAAGUCCAGGGCUCAACCCUGGAAUGCCGGUGGAUACUGUCGGGCUAGAGUCCGGAAGGGGCGAGUGGAAUUCCUGGUGUAGCGGUGAAAUGCGCAGAUAUCAGGAGGAACACCAAUUGCGAAGGCAGCUCGCUGGGACGUAACUGACGCUGAGACGCGAAAGCGUGGGGAGCAAACAGG